UGCCAGCAGAAGGUGUAGGAACAAGAUUUUCUAACGAACCGGAAUAAUUAUAUGGUUGAUUUAUGGAGUUAGCAGAGGAAGUAAAUGAGGGAGAAAUAUCACUCAACUGCUUGAAAUGUUCUAAACUUGAAAUGGGUGCAGUAGCCUGAACUCGUUUAGACAUCUCUGAAAGAAUCUGAAGUCGCGAAUUCAUACCACCCCCCAUAACAUUAGCUUUUUCGGUAGCU
Molecule: non-coding RNA, 227 nt
Organism: Schizosaccharomyces pombe (fission yeast)
Lineage: Eukaryota; Fungi; Ascomycota; Schizosaccharomycetes; Schizosaccharomycetales; Schizosaccharomycetaceae
Source: the annotation of a GenBank genome assembly